Molecule: ribosomal RNA, 370 nt
Filed under: uncultured prokaryote
Description: bacterial SSU rRNA
Rfam family: Bacterial small subunit ribosomal RNA
Source: RNAcentral
UACGGAGGGUGCAAGCGUUAUCCGGAUUUAUUGGGUUUAAAGGGUGCGUAGGCGGUGAAAUAAGUCAGUGGUGAAAAGCUGCAGCUCAACUGUAGUCCUGCCAUUGAAACUGUUUUACUUGAGUAACCAUGAGGUAGGCGGAAUGUGUAGUGUAGCGGUGAAAUGCUUAGAUAUUACACAGAACACCGAUUGCGUAGGCAGCUUACUAGCGGUUUACUGACGCUGAUGCACGAAAGCGUGGGGAUCAAACAGGAUUAGAUACCCUGGUAGUCCACGCCGUAAACGAUGAUAACUCGCUGUUGGCGAUACACAGUCAGCGGCUUAGCGAAAGCGUUAAGUUAUCCACCUGGGGAGUACGCUCGCAAGAGUG